AGAGUUUGAUUCAGGCUCAGAACGAACGCUGGCAGCGUGGAUUAGGCAUGCAAGUCGAACGAGAAGCCCUGGUCUCAAUCUUCGGAGAGAAACCAGGGUGGACAGUGGCGGAAGGGUGAGUAACGCGUGGGCAAUUUGCCUCCGGACUGGGGACAACUCCGCGAAAGCGGGGCUAAUACCGAAUAUGGUCUCCUGUCGCAUGACGGGAAGAUUAAAGAUGGGGAUUCUUCGGAACCUGUCGUCUGGAGAGGAGCCCGCGUACGAUCAGCUUGUUGGUGAGGUAACGGCUCACCAAGGCUUUGACCGUUAGCCGGCCUGAGAGGGUGAUCGGCCACACUGGGACUGAGACACUGCCCAGACUCCUACGGGAGGCUGCAGUCGAGGAUCAUUCGCAAUGCGCGAAAGCGUGACGAUGCGACGCUGCGUGUAGGAUGACGGCCUUCGGGUUGUAAACUACUGUCAUGAGGGAAAAACCAGCGAUGGGACAAUACCCCAUCGCUCUGAUGGUACCUCAAGAGGAAGCCACGGCUAACUCUGUGCCAGCAGCCGCGGUAAUACAGAGGUGGCUAGCGUUGUUCGGAUUUACUGGGCGUAAAGCGUGCGUAGGCGGUUCCGUGUGUCGGGUGUGAAAUCCCACGGCUUACCCGUGGAAUGGCACCCGAAACUGCGGGGCUAGAGUGCAGGAGGGGAGAGCGGAAUUCUUAGUGUAGCGGUGAAAUGCGUUGAUAUUAAGAAGAACACCGGCGGCGAAGGCUCUCUCUGGAAUGUAACUGACGCUGAGGCACGAAAGUUGGGGGAGCAAACAGGAUUAGAUACCCUGGUAGUCCCAACCGUAAACGGUGUGAACUUGGUGUAGGGGGUAUUGACCCCCCCUGUGCCGGAGCUAACGCGUUAAGUUCACCGCCUGGGGAGUACGGCCGCAAGGCUAAAACUCAAAGAAAUUGACGGGGGCCCGCACAAGCGGAGGAGCAUGUGGCUUAAUUCGAUGCAACGCGAAGAACCUUACCUGGGCUUGACAUGGGGACCCUUCGGGGGUGGUAGCGAAAGUUACCUUUACCAUCACAGGUGCUGCAUGGCUGUCGUCAGUUCGUGCCGUGAGGUGUUUGGUUAAGUCCAGCAACGAACGCAACCCUUGUGACUAGUUACCAGCGUCGGUGAUGAGCCGGCAGGCACUCUAGUCAGACUGCCCGUACAAGCGGGAGGAAGGUGGGGAUGACGUCAAGUCAGUAUGGCCCUUACGCCCAGGGCUGCACACGUGCUACAAUGGUCAGUACAGAAGGAUGCAAAACCGCAAGGUCGAGCAAAUCCCCAAAGCUGGCCCCAGUUCGGAUUGGAGUCUGCAACUCGACUCCAUGAAGUCGGAUUCGCUAGUAACGGCGUAUCAGCUACGACGCCGUGAAUACGUUCCCGGGCCUUGUACACACCGCCCGUCACAUCAUGAAAGCCGUCUGCACCCGAAGUCGCUGAGCCAACCCGCAAGGGAGGCAAGUGCCGAAGGUGUGGGUGGUGAUUGGGAUGAAAUCGUAACAAGGUA
RNAcentral lists this ribosomal RNA (1534 nucleotides) under metagenome. RNAcentral's name for it is "bacterial SSU rRNA". It matches the Rfam family "Bacterial small subunit ribosomal RNA". The record is from RNAcentral.